Molecule: ribosomal RNA, 513 nt
Filed under: uncultured Prevotella sp.
Lineage: Bacteria; Pseudomonadati; Bacteroidota; Bacteroidia; Bacteroidales; Prevotellaceae
Description: partial 16S ribosomal RNA
Source: RNAcentral
CACGGAAUUAGCCGGUCCUUAUUCGCGCGGUACCUGCAGACCUCCAGCACGUGGAGGGUGUUAUCCCCGCGCAAAAGCAGUUUACAACCCAUAGGGCCGUCAUCCUGCACGCUACUUGGCUGGUUCAGACUCUCGUCCAUUGACCAAUAUUCCUCACUGCUGCCUCCCGUAGGAGUUUGGACCGUGUCUCAGUUCCAAUGUGGGGGACCUUCCUCUCAGAACCCCUACUGAUCGUAGGCUAGGUGGGCCGUUACCCCGCCUACUACCUAAUCAGACGCAUCCCCAUCCAUGUCCGCGAAGCUUUACUCCAAUUCAGAUGUCCUCAUCGGAGACCAUGGGGAGUUAGUCCGCCUUUCGACGGGUUAUUCCCCAGACCAUGGGCAGGUUGGAUACGCGUUACUCACCCGUGCGCCGGUCGACGCCUAGGGAAAGCAAGCUUUCCCUAUCCGUUUCCCUCGACUUGCAUGUGUUAAGCCUGUAGCUAGCGUUCAUCCUGAGCCAGGAUCAAACUCU